This 26-nucleotide non-coding RNA is filed under the name Bombyx mori (domestic silkworm). Lineage: Eukaryota; Metazoa; Arthropoda; Insecta; Lepidoptera; Bombycidae. The record is from RNAcentral.
UCUUGCUUAAAGUUGAUCAUGACAGA